Molecule: long non-coding RNA, 2290 nt
Filed under: Homo sapiens (human)
Lineage: Eukaryota; Metazoa; Chordata; Mammalia; Primates; Hominidae
Description: HSALNT0331928
Source: RNAcentral
CCGCGGCCCCCUUCCCACUGCGCCCUGGCACCCACUCGCGCCCCCUCGCGGGCCACGUUGGUUAAAUGAACGGAUGCAGGAUACAGAGGGCCUGUGGAUAUAGACGGCUGACUGAAUGUACACGUUUACUAUAUAAUUUUGUUUGUAAAUUAUAUUAUGAUUUAAUUCUAUUUAUAACUUUAUAAUUUUUUGUUUUACAAGCCUAUAGAAUUAUAUAUAAUUAUUGUAGUUUAUCCUUAUCUCUGUUUCACGGAGAGGUAAAUGAUGACCAGGGAGUUACAAAGCUUCAUAAGUUUCUCGUGAGUACCAGGGAGCAGAGCCGGGGUCUAAACCAGUCUGCCUUUUUUCUGAAGCCAGAGUCCUCUUCUUUACACCAAGCUACUCUAUAGAAAGAGCAUUCUCAGGCCAGGCGCAGUGGUUCACACCUGUAAUCCCAGCACUUUGGGAGGCCGAGACGGGUGGAUCACCUGAGGCCAGGAGUUGGAGACCAGCCUGACCAACAUGGUGAAACUCCGUCUCUACUAAAAAUACAAAAAUUAGCCAGGCGUGGUGGCCUGCACCUGCAAUCCCAGCUAUUCAGGAGGUGGAAGUAGGAGAAUCGCUUGAACCCGGGAGGUGAAGGUUGCAGUGAACCAGGAUCACGCCACUGCACCGGGAUCGUGCCACUGCACUCCAGCCUGAGCGACAGACUCCGUCUCACCAAAAAAAAAAGGAAUGUGUAUUGGAGAAAAAAUAACAGAGUCUGGCUAAAGAGAUGAAGAGCUCAUGAGGGCGUGUCUCAAUUUAAACAAGAGUAGCAUUGGCAAUUGUUGUCCUUAGCAGCAGCCGACAAGGCGGAAUUGGAAUGGUGCUGCUCCUGACUACCUCUACUCCACGCUAGGCUUAGGGGCUGGAGUGACCCAAGCCCUCAGGGACCUGCAGCGGCUGAAGUCCUCUCAGCACCUGCAAUAUCCCAGAGGGCAAAGACAGGGCCAAAUACUGGAUUCUGGAUUCUCUUCAUUGUUGUCCCCCUGCAAGUGGAGAGGUAUCCAGGCUGGGCCUUGUCCUAAGAUAUGACGGAACUGAAUUCUUCCAGCAAGCAUGUGAGCUUGGAAGAGAACACCAUGCGCCACACGAGAAUGCAUACUGGCCAACACCCUGUGCAAAGAUCCAGAGAAGCUGUGCUCAGACUCCUGACUCAUGAAAAUAGUGAACUUAUAAAUGUAUAUUGUUUUAAGAUGCUAAAUUUGUGGUGAUGUGUUACAUGGCAAUAGAAAACUAAUAGAGAUAAAACUUGACAUUUGAAGUGCAUCACAUAAUGAAAUUAGUAGAUGAGAAUCUCUCUAGAAACAAGUAAAAUUUUGAGUUAAAAUGAGAGACUGGACAUAUAAUUCCUCCUCCCUCCAAAAUCCCAGGAAAUGAGUAGUUAAAAAAAUUUUUUUUUAAUUUUACAAGAUAAGAACAACAAGCAGAGAUACUUGAAGUAGGGGCUGGUUCUUCUUCACUCCCUUUGUUAUAUAACUGAACUUCCUCACACUUGAGAAGUACAUUUCCCUGCUCCUUGACUUUCAACUCAGCCAUGUGGCUUGCUUUGGCCAAUGAGUUAUAGGUAGACGUGAUGUGACCAGAGGUUUAGAACUCAUCACUGAUCUUGAAACCACCUUUGCAAAAUUAUGACUGAGACAGUGAAACAGAUCUAACUUAGCCAACUCCGUCUUCUUCCAACCUGCAGGCUGUGCUUGUUCAUUCUGGGUGUAGGCUGAACUAACUUUGGGAGAAACUUAGUUUAUAGUUUAAAACAAAGAUGAUAACAGCCCUUUCCCAAAGCAGACCUUCUUCUUGCCUGGGGACUAGAUUGCCUUUGUAGGACUGACAGUAGCCACGAGAUUAGAAAUUAUGAUUUAGGAAUCGUGCAGCUGGAGGCUACAAGAUUCUGACCCUCCCUAAAUUGCUCCUAAGAUCAAUGCUUGAGAUAUUUUGCAGACCCUGCACUUGAUGGCACCACUCAGAUCAAUAAACUGGCUCAUCUGAUCUUGUGGCCCCUUACCCAGGAACUGACUCAUCACAAGAAGACAGCUUCAACUCCCUAUGAUUUCAUCUUUGACCAAUCAGCACUCCUGGCUCACCGGCUUCCCACACACCCACCAAGUUGUUCUUAAAAACUCUGCUCUCCGAAUGCUCGGGGAGACUGAUUUGAGUAAUAAUAAAACUCUGUUCUCCCACACAGCCGGCUCUGUGUGAAUAACUCUUUCUCUAUUGCAAUUCCCCUGUCUUGAUAAAUUGUCUCAGUCUAGGCAGCAGGCAAGGUGAG